CGGACAGCUGCACCAAGUUGACCCUCCCCAGGACAGCGCAGGCCGAGAUGAGCAGGGGCACGGUGCUCAUGUAUCCUGCCUGCACAUGAGCCAGGAGGCCAGAAGAGGGGACCAGAUCUCACUAUAGGUGGUUAUGAGCCACCACGUGGUUGCUGGGAAUUGAACUCAGGACCUCUGGAAGAACAACCAGCACUCUUAACCUCUGAGCCAUCUCCCCAGUGCCAAGAAUCAUCUUGUUAGAAGGGACCCUCCAAUGAGGACUUUUCUCCAACAAAUUGGCCUGCUUUCCUUUGUGGACUAAGGACAUCACUCUCUAAGACUGAGCAAGCGCAAACAGGGUCGUCAGCCUCUGGACUGUGCCAGCUGCCGAGGUACCCAGCCUCAAGGAUCAAGUAAAUCAACCAUGUUCUUUGCCUCUCGAUUGUGAGACACC
This is a long non-coding RNA of Psammomys obesus (fat sand rat), 433 nucleotides long. RefSeq lists it as uncharacterized. Lineage: Eukaryota; Metazoa; Chordata; Mammalia; Rodentia; Muridae. The transcript has 3 exons. The record is from RefSeq and is a predicted model, not a curated record.